GCCUGGCUGGCUCAGGUGGUAGAGCAUGUGACUCUUAAUCUUGGGGUCAUGAGUUCAAGCCCCACGUUGGGCA
Non-coding RNA from Canis lupus familiaris (dog), 73 nucleotides. The record is from Rfam. NCBI's taxonomy places the organism in Eukaryota, Metazoa, Chordata, Mammalia, Carnivora, Canidae.